Long non-coding RNA from Psammomys obesus (fat sand rat), 789 nucleotides. RefSeq lists it as uncharacterized. The record is from RefSeq and is a predicted model, not a curated record. The transcript is spliced from 4 exons. Lineage: Eukaryota; Metazoa; Chordata; Mammalia; Rodentia; Muridae.
AACAAGCAUGCAAGAGCUUGCCGCCACCCAAGUGGCUAAGUGCAGGACACCAGACGUGGGGAGACUGCCACCAAGUGUGUCACCAGAUCAUGCUGCUGUAUUUCUGGGAUGAACAGAGGUGAAGAGUGCAGUGUGUCAUCUUUGCGGGAUGCCAUAAAAAUAUAAUCACUCCCACUUUUUAAACAUAAAUUCAUCUUACUUUCCUUAAAAGAGUGUGUUAAUUAUUCUUGCUGUUUGGAUUGCUAUAACAUAAUACCACAGAGCAUAUCAUUUAUAAAGAGCAGAGGUGAACUCAGCUCAUGGUUCUGAAAACUGGCAUCCAGAGAAUGAGAACUCACUCACGUCAACACUGGUGUAUCCGAGGGUAUUCAUGUUUGUGUGUGUAUAGAGGGCUGUGCCUAUCUGUGCACAUGAUGAGACCAGAAGAACACAUGCAUUCCCUAGAGUUGGAGUUACAAGCAUUUGCAGGGCACCUGGCUUGUUAUUUGGGGACAAAGAUCCUGGCUCUGUCAAGAUAGCACAUAUUUGUGGACAUUCGAAAUGAUACUCUUUUGUACUUGUCACGGUUGUCUUUCGUCUCACAUUGUUGGUCUGCUGCUAGCAGGCAUGGUGUUUUUCUCAAUGGAAUGUUCUCCCAGCAAGAAUGGAAUCUUACACAUAAUAACAACAGAGAUUUAUCAACUCGAUGAAUCCAUCAUUUUUUCUUUCUUUCCUUCCUUUUUUUCUUAUUCUUUCUUCCUAAUAAAGAGAACCAGCAAUGGUUUACAGAAUAAAAACAUGGGCAUGAAU